CAAGACCUUGCGCUUUAGGAGUGGCCGAUAUCGGAUUAGCUAGUUGGUGAGGUAAAGGCUCACCAAGGCGACGAUCCGUAGCGGGUCUGAGAGGAUGAUCCGCCACACUGGGACUGAGACACGGCCCAGACUCCUACGGGAGGCAGCAGUGGGGAAUUUUGGACAAUGGGCGCAAGCCUGAUCCAGCCAUGCCGCGUGAGUGAAGAAGGCCUUCGGGUUGUAAAGCUCUUUCGGUGGGGAAGAAAUUGCUUAGGCUAAUACCUUAAGUAGAUGACGGUACCCGCAUAAGAAGCACCGGCUAACUACGUGCCAGCAGCCGCGGUAAUACGUAGGGUGCGAGCGUUAAUCGGAAUUACUGGGCGUAAAGCGUGCGCAGGCGGUUUUGUAAGACAGACGUGAAAUCCCCGGGCUUAACCUGGGAACU
This 424-nucleotide ribosomal RNA is filed under the name uncultured beta proteobacterium. RNAcentral describes it as "bacterial SSU rRNA". It matches the Rfam family "Bacterial small subunit ribosomal RNA", at positions 207 to 622 of the family's 1533-position model. Lineage: Bacteria; Pseudomonadati; Pseudomonadota; Betaproteobacteria. The record is from RNAcentral.